Molecule: ribosomal RNA, 253 nt
Filed under: uncultured bacterium
Lineage: Bacteria
Description: partial 16S ribosomal RNA
Rfam family: Bacterial small subunit ribosomal RNA
Source: RNAcentral
GACAGAGGGUGCAAACGUUGUUCGGAAUUACUGGGCGUAAAGCGCGUGUAGGCGGCUGUGCAAGUCGGAUGUGAAAUCCCGUGGCUCAACCACGGAAGUGCACCUGAAACUGCGCAGCUGGAGUCUCGGAGAGGAAGGUGGAAUGCUUGGUGUAGAGGUGAAAUUCGUAGAUAUCAAGCGGAACACCGGUGGCGAAGGCGGCCUUCUGGACAGUGACUGACGCUGAGACGCGAAAGCGUGGGGAGCAAACAGG